Molecule: ribosomal RNA, 1904 nt
Filed under: Salmonella enterica subsp. enterica serovar Typhimurium
Lineage: Bacteria; Pseudomonadati; Pseudomonadota; Gammaproteobacteria; Enterobacterales; Enterobacteriaceae
Description: partial 23S ribosomal RNA
Rfam family: Bacterial large subunit ribosomal RNA
Source: RNAcentral
AACGUCCGUCGUGAAGAGGGAAACAACCCAGACCGCCAGCUAAGGUCCCAAAGUCAUGGUUAAGUGGGAAACGAUGUGGGAAGGCCCAGACAGCCAGGAUGUUGGCUUAGAAGCAGCCAUCAUUUAAAGAAAGCGUAAUAGCUCACUGGUCGAGUCGGCCUGCGCGGAAGAUGUAACGGGGCUAAACCAUGCACCGAAGCUGCGGCAGCGAACGUAUCACCCAAGACAACUUUACGGAGUUGACGAUUGACGGAGCGAAGCGACGUCAAAGCGUUCAUUAAAGUCGAGUUGGCUUAGGGAUACGUUCGUUGGGUAGGGGAGCGUUCUGUAAGCCUGUGAAGGUGUGUCGUGAGGCAUGCUGGAGGUAUCAGAAGUGCGAAUGCUGACAUAAGUAACGAUAAAGCGGGUGAAAAGCCCGCUCGCCGGAAGACCAAGGGUUCCUGUCCAACGUUAAUCGGGGCAGGGUGAGUCGACCCCUAAGGCGAGGCCGAAAGGCGUAGUCGAUGGGAAACGGGUUAAUAUUCCCGUACUUGGUGUUACUGCGAAGGGGGGACGGAGAAGGCUAUGUUGGCCGGGCGACGGUUGUCCCGGUUUAAGCGUGUAGGUGUGUGUUCCAGGUAAAUCCGGUUCACUUUAACACUGAGGCGUGACGACGAGGCACUACGGUGCUGAAGCAACAAAUGCCCUGCUUCCAGGAAAAGCCUCUAAGCAUCAGGUAACAUCAAAUCGUACCCCAAACCGACACAGGUGGUCAGGUAGAGAAUACCAAGGCGCUUGAGAGAACUCGGGUGAAGGAACUAGGCAAAAUGGUGCCGUAACUUCGGGAGAAGGCACGCUGACACGUAGGUGAAGUGAUUUACUCAUGGAGCUGAAGUCAGUCGAAGAUACCAGCUGGCUGCAACUGUUUAUUAAAAACACAGCACUGUGCAAACACGAAAGUGGACGUAUACGGUGUGACGCCUGCCCGGUGCCGGAAGGUUAAUUGAUGGGGUCAGCGCAAGCGAAGCUCCUGAUCGAAGCCCCGGUAAACGGCGGCCGUAACUAUAACGGUCCUAAGGUAGCGAAAUUCCUUGUCGGGUAAGUUCCGACCUGCACGAAUGGCGUAAUGAUGGCCAGGCUGUCUCCACCCGAGACUCAGUGAAAUUGAACUCGCUGUGAAGAUGCAGUGUACCCGCGGCAAGACGGAAAGACCCCGUGAACCUUUACUAUAGCUUGACACUGAACAUUGAGCCUUGAUGUGUAGGAUAGGUGGGAGGCUUUGAAGUGUGGACGCCAGUCUGCAUGGAGCCGACCUUGAAAUACCACCCUUUAAUGUUUGAUGUUCUAACGUGGACCCGUAAUCCGGGUUGCGGACAGUGUCUGGUGGGUAGUUUGACUGGGGCGGUCUCCUCCUAAAGAGUAACGGAGGAGCACGAAGGUUGGCUAAUCCUGGUCGGACAUCAGGAGGUUAGUGCAAUGGCAUAAGCCAGCUUGACUGCGAGCGUGACGGCGCGAGCAGGUGCGAAAGCAGGUCAUAGUGAUCCGGUGGUUCUGAAUGGAAGGGCCAUCGCUCAACGGAUAAAAGGUACUCCGGGGAUAACAGGCUGAUACCGCCCAAGAGUUCAUAUCGACGGCGGUGUUUGGCACCUCGAUGUCGGCUCAUCACAUCCUGGGGCUGAAGUAGGUCCCAAGGGUAUGGCUGUUCGCCAUUUAAAGUGGUACGCGAGCUGGGUUUAGAACGUCGUGAGACAGUUCGGUCCCUAUCUGCCGUGGGCGCUGGAGAACUGAGGGGGGCUGCUCCUAGUACGAGAGGACCGGAGUGGACGCAUCACUGGUGUUCGGGUUGUCAUGCCAAUGGCACUGCCCGGUAGCUAAAUGCGGAAGAGAUAAGUGCUGAAAGCAUCUAAGCACGAAACUUGCCCCGA